This 96-nucleotide transfer RNA is filed under the name Spirilliplanes yamanashiensis. RNAcentral's name for it is "tRNA-Arg". The record is from RNAcentral. Lineage: Bacteria; Bacillati; Actinomycetota; Actinomycetes; Micromonosporales; Micromonosporaceae.
GGGCCGCUGAGCUGCGGUUUUGUGGGCCGCCGGGGACUCGAACCCCGAACCUAUGGAUUAAAAGUCCACAGCUCUGCCAUUGAGCUAGCGGCCCGC